RNAcentral lists this ribosomal RNA (265 nucleotides) under uncultured bacterium. RNAcentral's name for it is "partial 16S ribosomal RNA". It matches the Rfam family "Bacterial small subunit ribosomal RNA", at positions 524 to 787 of the family's 1533-position model. The record is from RNAcentral.
UACGGAGGGGGCAAGCGUUGUCCGGAUUUAUUGGGCGUAAAGAGCUCGUAGGUGGUUCGGUAAGUCGGAUGUGAAAUCUCCAGGCUCAACCUGGAGGGGUCAUUCGAUACUGCCGUGACUAGAGGUCGGUAGGGGAGUGUGGAAUUCCGGGUGUAGCGGUGGAAUGCGUAGAGAUCCGGAAGAACACCGGUGGCGAAGGCGGCCUGCUGGGCAGUUGCUGACGCUGAGGCGCGACAGCGUGGGGAGCAACAGGAUUGAGAAACCC